CUACCCCUCCCUCUCAAAUCUCCAGCAAAGUGCUCUGCUAGGGCACAAUAACUUUCGUUCAUCUCCGAGCUAGCAAAAUCCUUCUCACCUUCAACUCACUGCUCUAGCCCUUGGAGCUGACGUACUUCUUAGUUGUGGAUCUGUUGCGUUUUAGCAUCUAAGCAAGAUGGAAAUACUUCUGGAGGUAGGCCUGAUGGUGGUAGCGGUGCAACUUAGUGGGCUCAUUGAAGUGGCCCUCGAAGGACGAUUCUAUGGCCCUAGUGCCUUUGUAAUCCCUUGCUCUAGGAGUCUUUAUUUUGCAUAACUGUGAACUUUGUUGUUUCUCUUUUUGGCUAUGGCAUGGUUAUAUGCCUAGAACCCCUUUCAAG
Molecule: long non-coding RNA, 368 nt
Organism: Vigna unguiculata (cowpea)
Lineage: Eukaryota; Viridiplantae; Streptophyta; Magnoliopsida; Fabales; Fabaceae
Source: RefSeq, a predicted model, not a curated record